Acanthosepion pharaonis is the source of this 95-nucleotide non-coding RNA. The record is from the annotation of a GenBank genome assembly. NCBI's taxonomy places the organism in Eukaryota, Metazoa, Mollusca, Cephalopoda, Sepiida, Sepiidae.
GUCAUAUCGGGCCUCAUCCUAUCACCGAAGUUAAGCAACGUCGAGCCUGACCAGUACCUAGAUUUGUGAACGCUUGGGAAUACUAGUUGCUGUAA